Molecule: unclassified non-coding RNA, 200 nt
Filed under: soil metagenome
Description: partial contains internal transcribed spacer 2 and large subunit ribosomal RNA
Source: RNAcentral
UCAAGCACCGCUUGGUAUUGGGCAUCGUCCGCCUCUGAUGGCGGGCGUGCCUCGAAGACCUCGGCGGGGUUUCUCCAACUUCGGGCGUAGUAGAGUUAAAUCAAAACGUCUUAUAAGCUUGGUGAGAUCUCAUUGCCGUUAAACCUUUUAUUAUUUUUCAGGUUGACCUCGGAUCAGGUAGGGAUACCCGCUGAACUUAA